UGUCACUACCACAUAAUUCUAAUUUUAAAAAAUAAAUUAUAAAUCCAAUUAAAUGCCUUACGGUAUAAACACAAAAGAGAUCUGUUUUUAAUUUUCUCCGGAAACUACCCACUUCCCCAAUUUUCAACUGCACUUCCACAUUCUCUAGGCAACAUAUAUCUGCGUAUUGAAAUUUCAAUCCCUUAUCCAUUAAUUUAUAUUAAAGGCAAUUAAGAAGGAAAAUCAGACAUCAACGUAUUGGUUUCUUUACAUCAAAUAUCUCAAUGUACCAGUCGAUGCAUUGAGUACCCCGUUCUUCAAGAGUUACAAAUUUUGAUCGGAAGGUAUUGGAAAAUAGCAGGAAGUUCAAAGGCUGUAAACAAGGUGUGAUGGUUAUGGUGCUCUAUGCCCCGAUCCCAAAUUUGUCGGUGGUGAAGAUGUGAUGUUCUACUUCCAUGGAGCAAAGAAAACUGAAUUUCCUAUUAUCUCAGCUGACAACCUCCAUAUUAGUGCAAAAUUAACUGGUACACAACCACAAGAAAGGAAGUUUGACUUUACAUGGGUUCAAACAUUGUCAGAUAUGUUUGACACCCAUACGUUAAUAGUAGGACCAAAGGAAGUGUCAAAAUGGGAUUAAAAUGUUGAUGCUCUUACUGUACAGUCACAGUGGAAUGGUGAGACACUUGAUGUCCCGAUAGAUGGAGAUACAAAAUAGAGCGUUAAUACUACUGAGAGAUCAAUGGUGGUCGAGGGAAUUGAUGAUCUUAAUAGCAUGAGGUUCAUAGUUUCUAGACUAAUGUAAUUGGAUGUAAAAGUAGUCCCCAUUGGAGAGAAGGAAAGCAAAGAUUCACAGCUAUCAGUUACCAAGAGAUGUUGUUUUUGCUCAUCUGGAGACACAAUUGAAGUUUUCGAAUAUAUAUAAAGAUGAUGUCGAAGGAAUUUUUGGCUAGACUUACCAGUUGAGCUAUGUUAGUCCAGUCAAGAGAGGGGUGGUAAUGCCAAUCAUGGGCGGGGAAGACAAAUAUCAAACACCAUCACUUCAUUCAUAACCCUACAAAAUGCAGGUUGCUUCAUCUUGAUGAUACAAAGAUAUUAACCAAUAAGGGCACGUUUAGUAGUGUAUAAGAAUACUAGUGAAUUUUUUUAUUGGUCGUUUAGUAGAGUGUAUAGGAAUAAUAGUGAAUUUUUUAUUAACAACCCCUUUGUUGUUUGUUAAAUAAAAUAUUGCUAUAAAUCUAA
Long non-coding RNA from Capsicum annuum, 1218 nucleotides. RefSeq lists it as uncharacterized. NCBI's taxonomy places the organism in Eukaryota, Viridiplantae, Streptophyta, Magnoliopsida, Solanales, Solanaceae. The transcript is spliced from 3 exons. The record is from RefSeq and is a predicted model, not a curated record.